GUCACUGACGUGGUCUUCCUGUCUGGGUUGGCACCCCCCCUUGGGUUGUGCCAUGGCGGAGAUCGUUGUGGGCUAUACUCGGCCUUGUCUUAGGACGGUAAGUUGGUGGUUGGAGACAUCCCUCUAGUGGUGUGGGGGCUGUGCUUUGGCAAAGUGGGUGGGGUUAUAUCCUGCCUGUAGGGCUUUCUCCUAUAGAGCUCCAUUUUUAUGGAAUGGUCUGCCUACCAAUGUGAGAGACGCAGACUCAGUCUCAACCUUUAAGUCUUUACUGAAGACUUAUCUCUUCAGUAGGUCCUAUGAUUAAGUAUAGUCUGGCCCAGGAGUGUGAAGGUGAACGGAAAGGCUGGAGCAACGAACCGCCCUUGCUGUCUCUGCCUUGCCGGUUCCCCUCUUUCCACUGGGAUUCUCUGC
This 411-nucleotide long non-coding RNA is filed under the name Salmo salar (Atlantic salmon). RNAcentral's name for it is "lncRNA (ENSSSAG00000092763.1)". Lineage: Eukaryota; Metazoa; Chordata; Actinopteri; Salmoniformes; Salmonidae. The record is from RNAcentral.